GGAAGGGUGGCUCAGUGGUAGAGCACCACCAACUUGUUGGUGGGAGCUUGAUAGGCUUCGCGUGGUUCGAAUCCCGCCCCUUCCG
Haladaptatus sp. R4 is the source of this 85-nucleotide non-coding RNA. NCBI's taxonomy places the organism in Archaea, Methanobacteriati, Methanobacteriota, Halobacteria, Halobacteriales, Haladaptataceae. The record is from Rfam.